CCUACGGGAGGCAGCAGUGAGGAAUAUUGGUCAAUGGGCUUACGCCUGAACCAGCCAAGUCGCGUGAGGGAAGACUGCCCUAUGGGUUGUAAACCUCUUUUGUCAGGGAGCAAUUGGCGCUACGUGUAGCGUUAUCGAGAGUACCCGAAGAAAAAGCAUCGGCUAACUCCGUGCCAGCAGCCGCGGUAAUACGGAGGAUGCGAGCGUUAUCCGGAUUUAUUGGGUUUAAAGGGUGCGCAGGCGGAGGUGCAAGUCAGCGGUCAAAUUGCGGGGCUCAACCCCGUACUGCCGUUGAAACUGCAUCCCUUGAGUGCGCGAGAAGUAUGCGGAAUGCGUGGUGUAGCGGUGAAAUGCAUAGAUAUCACGCAGAACUCCGAUUGCGAAGGCAGCAUACCGGCGCGCAACUGACGCUCAUGCACGAAAGCGUGGGUAUCGAACAGGAUUAGAUACCCGGGUAGUC
RNAcentral lists this ribosomal RNA (460 nucleotides) under uncultured bacterium. RNAcentral describes it as "partial 16S ribosomal RNA". It matches the Rfam family "Bacterial small subunit ribosomal RNA", at positions 338 to 795 of the family's 1533-position model. The record is from RNAcentral.